GUAGUCCCAGGGAUGUAGCCCUUAAGUACAGUCUGUCAGUUCUUUUAUGAAGAUGUAAGAAUACCCUUCCAAAGUCAAGGUUUAUUCAUCCCAAGACUCUGCCUGCCCUUUAGGGAAGAGAACCAUCAGAGGAGAGCCAGUGCAGAUCCCAGAUCUGGCCUCUGUCUUCUCCAGUCACAACCCGCCUUGGCUGUUUGGUGGAAGAGGUCACCCUGCUGCAUAAAGUGUAAUUUUGAGAAGAAAUGCUGCUGCUCGCUGGUGCCUUGUUUGCCUAAAAAAUAUUUAACUCACAGAAAAAAAUAUCUGGGAACUCGCAAUGUGUUCCAGAAGAAUCUUUCAACAGAGCAAUGCAACUGCAAGGUUGUCAAGACAAAUGGAAACAGAUAAGAAUGAGUCAAUGUGGUAUUUAAGCAAGUUAGAAUUAGAAAGUGAGGAUGGAUUCAUAGUGGCUAUAUAUCUCUUCAAUUGAUUUAAUAAAUACAUCUGCAGAAUUUAUAAAAAAGGAUGUUUUAUCCAGCAGUCCUAUUGUUAACCUUAGGACUUUCCAAUCCCUAGCUUUCUGAUCAUAUAUUUUUUUCAAUUUGGGAAUUAGAACAGAGCAUUGUCCUGAUGGACUAAUGCACAUCACUAUGACCUGGCAGACAAAACUGGUCCCGUUUCCACCACAGCAAUUUUAUGUAUUGGUCUCAAGUUACAAAUACUCUGAGCACCCAAGAUAUCCUGGGAAUCUGAGUGGUGUGAGCCUGUGUCUCCAUGUUUCUAUGGUAACUCCAACACACAUAAUAAGCCAAGUGAUCAGAAAUAAAUCAGUCUACUAUGUUCUUAAUUUCCUUAUGAAAAACUCCAGGUGUGCAUGUAUGUAUUUUAACUGCAAGCCAAGCUUCAGAUAAAAGUGUGAAUUAUAUAUACAAUAUACAUGCCACACAGACAGAAAAAUGUGUGUAUAUUCUACAGGAAUCCCACAUGUAUGUAUUAUACUGUGCACAUGUAAAAAGAGGCACUGACUUCAUAAAAUGCUGAAAGCUAUUCAGGCUAUCUCUACACCAAAAGUAAACUGGCAGAAAGUAAAUAAGUACGUGAGAAAAAGCACAGGAUCAAAACAGCAGAUGCAGGUUUAAAACUAGCUCAGAGAUUUUCCUGUUGUUUGACAUUUUGGAAAUCUGUGUUCUCUGAUGACCACUUUCAUAUAAGUCUAUUUCCAGUGUCAAGGUGGAGGUAGUAUUUAUAAUUCUCCAACAUAUUUUAGAAUGGGAAACCAGAUGUUACCUGCAUACAAGGCUUUAAGUCCCUGGGUGAAGUCUGUCCUGAGCCACAGAGUAAGGAGGGAGCCGGUGCUGACGCUGAAGAAAUGCAGCUGAAAUCCUGGUAACUAGCAUCCUUAGGCCUGCUGUUCCUCCUGACAGCUGCGGGGUGUCUCAACAUUUCCGGAGACCACAGCUGAGUCCUGAGUCCUUCACCUGGAGAGUAGCCUCAGGGCUUUGCACUCCCGCCCCAAGUCGACUUCCAGGCCCUUCACAGGGGCC
Molecule: long non-coding RNA, 1523 nt
Organism: Capra hircus (goat)
Lineage: Eukaryota; Metazoa; Chordata; Mammalia; Artiodactyla; Bovidae
Exons: 3
Source: RefSeq, a predicted model, not a curated record